RNAcentral lists this long non-coding RNA (222 nucleotides) under Elaeis guineensis (African oil palm). Its description in RNAcentral is "long non-coding RNA (EGUI_LNC061314)". Lineage: Eukaryota; Viridiplantae; Streptophyta; Magnoliopsida; Arecales; Arecaceae. The record is from RNAcentral.
GCCCAGUGAUGCUUUGCAAAGUGGAACUUAUAUGAGGUAUCUUAUACUCAAAAAUCUAAAGCUGAAGUACUUAAUGAUAAAUUAAUUUGUAUCAUAUACAAACCAUUAAUAGAUGCAAUUUUUGCAUCCUGCUUCUGCUUCACACUUACAAGAUGACUUUUGCAAUUUCUUUCUAAUGCUCAUCAUUGCUGUAAUAAAAAUUGAUACCCUUAAUGAAGAUAU